CCGCCCUAGUUUUGACCGUAAACGAUGCCAACUAGCGAUCCGCCGAUGGAAACACAAAUUGCCAUGGUGGGGAGCUUCCCGGAAACGAAAGUCUUCCGGUUCCGGGGGAAGUAUGGUUGCAAAGCUGAAACUUAAAGGAAUUGACGGAAGGGCACCACCAGGAGUGGAGCCUGCGGCUUAAUUUGACUCAACACGGGGAAACUCACCCGGCCCGGACACCGUAAGGAUUGACAGAUUGACAGCUUUUUCAUGAUUCGGUGGAUGGUGGUGCAUGGCCGUUCUUAGUUCGUGGAGCGAUCUGUCUGGUUUAUUCCGAUAACGAGCGAGACUCUGGCCUACUAACUAGUCCGCGCAUUGCCUCUGUGCCGUUGGACUUCUUAGAGGGAUUCGCGGUGUUCAGCCGCAAGAAAUGGAGCAAUAACAGGUCUGUGAUGCCCUUAGAUGUCCGGGGCUGCACGCGCGCUACACUGGCAGAAUCAGCUGGCUUGUCCUGCCCCGAAAGGGGCGGGUAAACCCGUGAAAAUCUGCCGUGAUUGGGAUCGGAAAUUGCAAUUAUUUUCCGUGAACGAGGAAUUCCAAGUAAGUGCGUGUCAUCAACACGCGUUGAUUACGUCCCUGCCCUUUGUA
RNAcentral lists this ribosomal RNA (627 nucleotides) under Pratylenchus neglectus. Its description in RNAcentral is "SSU rRNA". It matches the Rfam family "Eukaryotic small subunit ribosomal RNA", at positions 1015 to 1664 of the family's 1831-position model. The record is from RNAcentral. Lineage: Eukaryota; Metazoa; Nematoda; Chromadorea; Rhabditida; Pratylenchidae.